This 400-nucleotide ribosomal RNA is filed under the name uncultured bacterium. Its description in RNAcentral is "bacterial SSU rRNA". It matches the Rfam family "Bacterial small subunit ribosomal RNA", at positions 355 to 747 of the family's 1533-position model. The record is from RNAcentral.
UGGGGAAUUUUGGACAAUGGGCGAAAGCCUGAUCCAGCAAUGCCGCGUGAGUGACGAAGGCCUUCGGGUUGUAAAGCUCUUUUGUCCGGAAAGAAAUCUCCCGGGUUAAUACCCCGGGUGGAUGACGGUACCGGAAGAAUAAGCACCGGCUAACUACGUGCCAGCAGCCGCGGUAAUACGUAGGGUGCAAGCGUUAAUCGGAAUUACUGGGCGUAAAGCGUGCGCAGGCGGUUUUGCAAGACAGAUGUGAAAGCCCCGGGCUCAACCUGGGAACUGCAUUUGUGACUGCAAGGCUAGAGUGUGUCAGAGGGAGGUGGAAUUCCACGUGUAGCAGUGAAAUGCGUAGAGAUGUGGAGGAACACCGAUGGCGAAGGCAGCCUCCUGGGAUGACACUGACGCU